CAAACUGUAGCUUAACCUUAAAGCCCCUUGCUUACACCAAGAAUAUAUUUGUUUAAAUCAAAUCAGCUUGA
This 71-nucleotide transfer RNA is filed under the name Ingerana borealis (Rotung oriental frog). RNAcentral's name for it is "tRNA-Val". It matches the Rfam family "tRNA". From Rfam's summary of the family: Transfer RNA (tRNA) molecules are approximately 80 nucleotides in length. Their secondary structure includes four short double-helical elements and three loops (D, anti-codon, and T loops). Further hydrogen bonds mediate the characteristic L-shaped molecular structure. tRNAs have two regions of fundamental functional importance: the anti-codon, which is responsible for specific mRNA codon recognition, and the 3' end, to which the tRNAs corresponding amino acid is attached (by aminoacyl-tRNA synthetases). tRNAs cope with the degeneracy of the genetic code in two manners: having more than one tRNA (with a specific anti-codon) for a particular amino acid; and 'wobble' base-pairing, i.e. permitting non-standard base-pairing at the 3rd anti-codon position. Lineage: Eukaryota; Metazoa; Chordata; Amphibia; Anura; Dicroglossidae. The record is from RNAcentral.